RNAcentral lists this ribosomal RNA (253 nucleotides) under uncultured bacterium. RNAcentral describes it as "partial 16S ribosomal RNA". It matches the Rfam family "Bacterial small subunit ribosomal RNA", at positions 524 to 776 of the family's 1533-position model. The record is from RNAcentral.
UACAGAGGUGGCAAGCGUUGUUCGGAAUUACUGGGCGUAAAGGGCGCGUAGGCGGUCCUGUAAGUCUUGUGUGAAAUCCCUCGGCUUAACUGAGGAACUGCACGAGAUACUGCGAGACUUGAGUUCGGGAGAGGAAAGCGGAAUUCCGGGUGUAGCGGUGAAAUGCGUAGAUAUCCGGAGGAACACCGGUGGCGAAGGCGGCUUCCUGGACAACUACUGACGCUGAGACGCGAAAGCGUGGGGAGCAAACAGG